AAUUAUGUGAAUUAAAGCAAGUAGUGGAUGCCUAGACUUAUCUAGCCGAAGAAGGACGCCUAGCCCGCGAAAGUCGCCGGGAAGCUGGCAAAAAGCUGUGAUCCGGCGGUGUCCGAAUAGGGUAACCUUGUCAUGAGAGAUCAUGAUGACCUUUGUCUUUAUGACAGAGGGGGGAUACCAGGGGAACUGAAAUAUCUAAGUACCCUGAGGAAAAGAAAUCGUAAGAGAUUCCCUGAGUAAGCGACGAGCGAAAAGGGAACAGCCCAAACCCAUAUUUAUAUGGGGGUUGUAGGACUUCAAUAUUGGAUUCUUUUUUUGUAAAAGAAUAGAGUGGAAUAUUUAACCAAAGAACGUGAUAGUCGUGUAUUUGAAACAAAAAAAGACCAUAGAAGAUUCCUGAGUAGGUUGGGAGACGGCAAACUCCCUUCUGAAUCUGGGGUGACCACACUCCAAGGCUAAAUACUAGAUAAGAUCGAUAGUGAACGAGUACCGUGAGGGAAAGGUGAAAAGAAGGGUCGAAGACCCCGUGAAAUAGUUCCUGAAACUAUUUGCUAACAAUCAGACAACGCCACUUUAUGUGGUUAUGUCGUGCCUAUUGAAGAAUGAGCCGGCGAGUAUUUGACAACUGCUACGGUUAAGAUGUUCCGCAUCGAAGCCACAGUGAAAGCGAGCCUUAAUAGGGCUAUUUACGGUAGUUGUUGAAUGACCCGAAACCGGGUGAGCUAACCAUGACCAGGGUGAAUUCCUCCGAAAGGAGGAAGGAAGCCCGCACCGAUGUAUGCUGCAAGAUGCUCGGAUGAGUUGUGGUUGGAGGUAAUAUGCCAAUCGAACCCGGAGAUAGCUGGUUCUCCCUGAAACAUAUUUAGGUAUGGGGUCACGUUAAGCGCAUUAGGGGUAGAGCACUGAUCGGGUGUCUGGGAGGAAACUUCCAGCAUCUAGUCAAACUCCGAAUACUAAUGUGUGUUUCGUGGCACUCAGCACUUGGGAGCUAAGUUCCAAGAGCUAAAGGGUAACAAUCCAGAUCUACAGCUAAGGUCUCUAAUGUAUAUUGAGUGGGAAAGGAAGUUUGUAUCCUAAGACACCUAGGAGGUCGGCUCAGAAGCAGCCAUCCUUUAAAGAAAGCGUAACAGCUCACUAGCCGUAGGGUACAUGCGUCGAAAAUUUAACGAGGCUAAAAUAUACAACCGAAGCUUAGAAUUUUUUACAAUAAUAUGUAGGAAGUGGUAAGGGAGCGUUCUGUGUGCUGUGAAGGUGCCCCGUGAGGAGGUGCUGGAGCGAUCAGAAGUGAGAAUGCCGGCAUGAGUAGCGAAAUUGGGGUGAGAAUCCCCAACCCCGUAUAUCCAAGGUUUCCGCACCCACGUUCGUCGUGUGCGGGUUAGGCGACCCUAAGGUAAGCCUUGUCCAAAGGGCAAGGGUAGCCGAUGGAUUACUGGUUAAUAUUCCAGUCCAUGGUAUGAAUCGUUUGACCUGGGGAAGGACGAUGAUGGAUAAGAUAUAUUCGGAAGUGAAUUUCGAAUCUAAUCACUAAGACAGUCUUAAUUGGCAAAUCCGUUAAGGCGUUUAUUCGAAGUGUGAUGGGUCUUGAGUCUUCGGACUCUUGAUAUGUCUGAUUUCAUUAUCCCGGAAAAGUUUCGCAGGAAGAUUUGUAUCAAAUCGUACCGAUAACCGACACAGGUGGAUAGGUCGAGUAGACCAAGGGGAGCGAGAGAAGGUAGUUUAAGGAAUUCGGCAAAAUAGCUGGGCGUAAUCUCGAAAGAUGCCCUCCUCAUCGCAAGAUGAGGCACAGUAAAUGACGUGAGGUUGACUGUUUAACAAAAACACAGGUCCGUGCAAACUCGUAAGAGGAAGUAUACGGGCUGAAGCCUGCCCGGUGCCGGAAGGUUAAUUGCGAGGGUUCUUGGUCUUUAUGAUCAAGGGCUUUCAAUCGAAGCCCCGGUGAACGGCAGCAGUAACUAUAACUGUUCUAAGGUAGCGAAGUUCCUUGUCGCUUAAUUGGCGACCCGCACGAAAGGUAUAACAAGCCUCAUACUGUCUUAAACUAUUACUCGGCGAAAUUGAAAUGGCCGUGAAGAUGCGGCCUACUAGCAGCAGGACAAAAAGACCCCGUGAAGCUUUACUACACCUUGGCACUGAUUUUGUAUGUGGAAUUGUCUAGAAUAGGCGGGAGUUUCCUUAUUUAGUAUGGAAACACCAAUGUAAUACCGCUCGUUUUAUAUAUAAAAUCUCACCUAACCUCACUGCAAACGUGAGGAGGGACCCUGUCAGGCAGGUAGUUUAACUGGGGAGGUUGCUUGCUAAAGAGUAACGCAAGCGCGCAAUGGUACCCUUAGCCUGGAUGGAAAUCAGGCUGGACGUGCAAUAGCAUAUGGGUGCUUUACUGUGAGGCAUACAGGCCGAGCAGUUGCGAAAGCAGGUUAUAGUGAUCCACUUGAACUUUGUGGAAGGUUCAGUGCUUAACGAAUAAAAGCUACUCCGGGGAUAACAGAGUCAUCGCGCCUAAGCGUCCCUAGCGUCGGCGCGGUUUGCUACCUCGAUGUCGGCUCAUCGCAUCCUGGGGCUGAAGAAGGUCCCAAGGGUUAGUCUGUUCGCCUAUUAAAGCGGUACGCGAGCUGGGUUCAGACCGUCGUGAGACAGGUCGGCCUCUAUCCGCUGCUAGCGUUAGAAAACUGAAGAAAUUUGCCCCUAGUACGAGAGGACCGGGGUGAGAGGAUCCCUAGUGUUCCUGUUGUUGCUGUCAAGCGCACUGCAGGGUAGCUACAUCCUAAAGGAUAACCGCUGAAAGCAUCUAAGCGGGAAACCUCUUCUAAGAUUAGUUUUCUCAAUGAGACCCGUGGGAGACUACCACGUUGAUAGACGGUAAGUGCAAGUCUGGUGACAGAUUGAGCUUAACCGCACUAAGUGUCCAAUGAACAUAAUUAG
This is a non-coding RNA of Candidatus Pacebacteria bacterium CG2_30_36_39, 2919 nucleotides long. NCBI's taxonomy places the organism in Bacteria, Bacillati, Minisyncoccota. The record is from Rfam.